Molecule: ribosomal RNA, 443 nt
Filed under: uncultured bacterium
Lineage: Bacteria
Description: partial 16S ribosomal RNA
Rfam family: Bacterial small subunit ribosomal RNA
Source: RNAcentral
CCUACGGGGGGCAGCAGUGGGGAAUAUUGGACAAUGGGGGGAACCCUGAUCGAGCGACGCCGCGUGAGUGAAGAAGUAUUUCGGUAUGUAAAGCUCUAUCAGCAGGGAAGAAAGAAAUGACGGUACCUGACUAAGAAGCCACGGCUAACUACGUGCCAGCAGCCGCGGUAAUACGUAGGGGGCAAGCGUUAUCCGGAUUUACUGGGUGUAAAGGGAGCGUAGACGGCGAUGCAAGUCUGAAGUGAAAGGCGGGGGCCCAACCCCCGGACUGCUUUGGAAACUGGAUGGCUUGAGGGCAGGAGAGGUAAGUGGAAUUCCUAGUGUAGCGGUGAAAUGCGUAGAUAUUAGGAGGAACACCAGUGGCGAAGGCGGCCUGCUGGACGAUGACUGACGUUGAGGCUCGAAAGCGUGGGGAGCAAACAGGAUUAGAUACCCGUGUAGUC